GCUGGCAGGCUUAUGUGCUGUCUUGUUUUUAACCCAUCAGCUCUUGCCGGAAGCCGCUCGGAGAUAAAACAGGAAGUCCCACCCCUCCCUUAGAGAAGGAAAACGGAGAGCCGAAGGAGUCAAUCUAAAUACGAUGAGCACGUCGGGCUCGAAGGCAAGCGCUGUCAGCCCGGGAGGAGCGUCUGGGAUUUCUAGAGGGUCCCAGAACGGGUUCUUCCCGGGCCGAUCCCGCCUGCUUCCUGCCCUGUCCCUCCACCCGGCUCCCGCCCUCAGUAAGGGAUCCUGAGGGCGGCGCCGGAAACACGGAGACGGCCCAGAACGGCGCGGGACCCGAGAGGCCUACGCUGGCAAACGCAGCCCGCUGCCUCUCUGCCGGCUUCCCCGGGACCUGGAGUGGCUGCUGUCGCUUCUGGCGCUCCGAUUUCGAGAAAUGAUUUUCAGCUGUGCAAGGCGAGAACGCUACUUUAAAUGAUGAGAAAAAUCUCUCGAAUGGCUCCCAAAAUAAGGUCCUUGUUUCAGAGGCUACAGGAAGCCACCAGCCGAACUUUGAUACCAAAAAGGAGGUUAAGAAGCGGAAUGUGGCUUGGUGACCAGUUUGGUAUUUACAAACUUUCAGCUUUUAUUAAAGCUGAAACACCUUGGCUGUUUAAAACGUUCGACAAGGACUUUUUAUGAACGUUAACGGCCCAGCACACGGGCUUGUU
Molecule: RNA transcript, 704 nt
Organism: Piliocolobus tephrosceles (Ugandan red Colobus)
Lineage: Eukaryota; Metazoa; Chordata; Mammalia; Primates; Cercopithecidae
Exons: 1
Source: RefSeq, a predicted model, not a curated record